Molecule: long non-coding RNA, 506 nt
Filed under: Olea europaea subsp. europaea
Lineage: Eukaryota; Viridiplantae; Streptophyta; Magnoliopsida; Lamiales; Oleaceae
Source: RNAcentral
AUGCAGCUUUACCGUAUCCAUGUCAGCUCAAUGCUAACGGUCAAAUCACACAAAUAGUACUUCUUCACAAACGAAAUUUCCUCGAAGCUCAGCUCACUAACGGUCAAAAAAAUGCUUCACCCUAUCCAGCAAAAGUCCUUCCAUUUAACCCUCCCUUCUUCUUCCUCUCUCUCACCUCCAAUCCUAUUUCUCUCUCUAAUCUCUCAUUCUCUCUCCUUUUUUUCCACCAUGAAGCUCGUUAAAAUUAUCCCUAAAAAGCUCUUCAACUCCAAGAAAUCCCGAUCCGUUUCCACGUCCGAAACCAAUCGGUCUUCAUCCUUCAGCUCUCAAACGACCACGUCGGAGGAGGAUGAUCCGCAAACCGGCUUCAAGAAGGCCAAUAGCUUAGCCACUCCGACCAGCGCACUACCCUCGUUAUCCUCAGAAAUAUCAGUCGACGAAUGGUCCGAAAUAUCUGCGGAUGUGUACUUUGAACUAAAAAAGGAGUUCGAAAUGAUAGACAGGUA